Molecule: long non-coding RNA, 2901 nt
Organism: Athalia rosae (coleseed sawfly)
Lineage: Eukaryota; Metazoa; Arthropoda; Insecta; Hymenoptera; Athaliidae
Exons: 2
Source: RefSeq, a predicted model, not a curated record
UUUUUUUCGCACUACGCCAUCAAACGCAAACAUUUUGGUGCGCGGAUGGUAUAGGUGAGCGUUGGAUCAUGAAAUACGAAAUUUUUUCGCGACGUUAUCGCAGCAUUGUAAGUUAUUGUUUUCGAUAAUCUUAGGUCCCAAUUUAGUCAUGUCGCAGAAUGCUUUAUCUAUUUGUAAUUUGAACAAAUUCAUUCGAUUGGACAUUAUUUUUUUUUCCUCGUGCCUGCAGCGUGAAAGCUUUUCAACUGCGAUAUACUAACUUGCGAGUUAUGCGGAAUAGAGGGAAUAAUUUAUUUAAUUUUUCCCCUAACUUUUCGAGGGCAUCCCUUAAUUCUGCGAAAUAUCCUUUGCCGUAAUCAUUGCAUAUUUCUAAGCUGGCGCAGAAUAAUCUGAGUGAUAAAUUAGAUCUUUUCUAUUCCGAUCAUCGGAGAGUGCAUAAUUAUGGGGAUUCCAACGUUCCGACAUAAUUCGUACCUUGGGAUUGGUUUGAGACCAUUAUUGGCCUUUGCUCGAAGCUGCGUUGGCUCGUUGCGACGAGAGCUCUCUCAGCCGCAAGCUUCUCCGCCGAGGCGUCGAUUUAUAGUGAAUUCCUUAUCUCUGGUAAGGUUGGUACGUACUCCUAAGACUAGCGAUAAGACGGCAUAAUCGCGAACGUAAAUUUCAGGGUUCCAUGCCCGUAAGAGAACGAACCUCCCUUGAAUACCAAGUUAUGCAGCUUUUGUUGUUCGGUGUAAAUAGUUACCGUGGGUAAACUAUUCACACGAGACAUUCUUCGAACCGUAUAGGGCGAGAAUUCAGAAUUCGUGAUUCAGGAUUCAGGAUUCAGGAUUCAGGAAUGGUCGUUCUACAAAUUGGUUGACAUCCUUCGCGGGCCCGAAGUUGAUAGUUGCGGAGCGAAGAGAGUCGCAUGAGUUCGGAUUUUUAACAUUGACGCGUGUCCAAUUUUACAGAGAAUCUAAAACCAAUAGCAACAGCGGCAUCGUCAGUAGCCACUCAUUGUCGGAGGGGGGAAAAAUGUAAAACGCGAAGCAGACUUUUCACUCUUACCGUGUCGUCGCGAGUCGCGAUAUAUGUAAGGGAAUCUUCAAUGUUACCCUUGAUACUCGCACCCUUUUACGCGUCCAUUAAUGUUCCUGCAACCCUGCAGCACAUGUAAAGCUGUUUCACAUUCCCUACUUUGUAGUAUUUGAAAAAAGGCUGCAGGAAGUUGCAUCGAGAUUGCACGAUAACAUUAGCUACACUGAAAGAAAUGAAGAAAAAAAAAAAAAAAUUCUUCAAUCACUUCUCUAGCUACGCAACCCUUGACUCAGGGGUGAAACGCGUUGAUUGCUUCAGCGAUACGGCCUUGGAAAAAAUUCUUUCUUCAUAUAUUACAGCAAAAAUAUGAAGAAACGGUGGAUUUAUAAAUUCUCAAUUUUUAGGCGUUGGUGGCGAUGGAUAUUAUAGGUGGGAUUUAAGGGCCACGUUAUAUCUUUGAUCUGGGAUUGGUUGAAAAUAAAUAGAAAGAAACGUUACGACUUUGAAGAGGGUUAUUUCGACCGGCGGGAGCUUCUUCUUGCAAUCUUGUUUUAGAGCAAUCGACCUAUACUUUUGCAGGCCCCAUUCAACCUUUCCGGCCUUCUAUAUGCCGGCACAGACUUUUAUGGGAUGUGUGCGGGCUGCGAAGGUUCUAGUAUAACCUUCGUAAAAAGGGGCGGAUAUAUAUUCUAUGUAUAGGGCGUUCCGCGUCAACUCGAGCAACGCUUGAUUCUCACGAUAUUUAUUUUUCCGUCGGAAGAGAAAUUUUCUAUUACCGUAGAACUUAAAUUACACUACAGUUUUUUUUUUUAUCGAAUUUCGACCCAUAUUAUCAGUCGUCAAAUGGGAAUGACCAAAGGUUUUUUUCGAGUUGUGAGGUAUUUGCUUUCUUUUUAAUUGAAAGUUUCUAUCACCUCGUUCUAUGAACGUCGCCAUAUCUUUCGUCGUUAUUCGAAUGACGAUCAGUAGCGCGAAAAAUCGGUUAUCUCCUCUCAUUAUCUCGCUAAAGUUUCGCAUUUUUUUUUAGGGCAAAUAUUAUGCAGAUAUUCUACCUGUGUGAAAAUAUCUACGGUUCUUUCCGUUCGUAGAUUAUACUCAACGUAAUCAUAUAUCAGCCUACACGCGCGGUUUAUACAUUCCACAUUUGCUGCAAGGUUACAAUAUAAAGACACAUGAUGGUUUCGUCUUUAUUACGCAGACACCGUAAGGUGACACGGUGUAUAAAAUACAUACGAAUAUGAUAUAGUGAUAUAAGUAGCUAUAGGUAUUUAAUAUUUUCGAUGUGGUACGUUCUUUCUUUUUCCGCAAUACUCUACAUACCCCGCAGUAAACCAGGCGCGGGAUGAAAAAAAAAAAAAAACAAAAACGCAAGAGGGAAAGACGAAAUGGAUAUGAGACAGGUUCUGAAUAUAACUCAGAAUUUUCAACCCUCCGGCAUCACCGCGUUCUCCAGGGAGGUAAAAUCCAACGACACCUUUUCUCGUGACCUUCCAGCUCAUGGAUCAUCGAGUGGGUUGGAGCUAUACGUACAUCGCAAUGCUCCGUGGUUCUAUAUCCUGAUCCUGCUGCCUUGCGCAGAGCCAAGAAUAGGAGAUAAUCCAAAUCGGAAAGAAACGCCCGAAGAGAAUUCAAAAAUAAAAGGAUGACGAUGGGACUCGGCUCUGCUCUAAUCCCUUGAAUCGUAUAUGUAUAAUACAUUCAAUCACAUUAUGCGUAAAAAAUCACUACAGCCGCUUUUGUAGAAUAGGCCUCGAUCAGAUUGUAGUUGAAUUUAAUAAAGAUCCUAACUACGAACAUCGCGUAAAUGUUGAAAUAGAUAGUGGCAUAGAUGCACACAAUAUUCCUAAUAAAAAGGUGCUUCUAAAUCGUGAAAUAUAUUUUUCA